AUUCAUCUUCGGGGUCGGGUGCAAUUCCCAACCGGCAGUAAAUUAAGCCUGCGACCUGCAUAAUCUAAUUAUGUGGCUGAUCUAGUGAAAUUCUAGAGCCGACAGUAAAGUCUGGAUGGGAGAAGAUGGAG
This 131-nucleotide non-coding RNA is filed under the name Staphylococcus massiliensis. RNAcentral describes it as "FMN sequence". It matches the Rfam family "FMN riboswitch aptamer (RFN element)". From Rfam's summary of the family: The RFN element is a highly conserved domain that is found frequently in the 5'-untranslated regions of prokaryotic mRNAs that encode for flavin mononucleotide (FMN) biosynthesis and transport proteins. This element is a metabolite-dependent riboswitch that directly binds FMN in the absence of proteins. In Bacillus subtilis, the riboswitch most likely controls gene expression by causing premature transcription termination within the 5' untranslated region of the ribDEAHT operon and precluding access to the ribosome-binding site of ypaA mRNA. The record is from RNAcentral. Lineage: Bacteria; Bacillati; Bacillota; Bacilli; Caryophanales; Staphylococcaceae. RNAcentral also lists the same sequence under 1 other name.